This 108-nucleotide ribosomal RNA is filed under the name Candidatus Cryptobacteroides intestinipullorum. Lineage: Bacteria; Pseudomonadati; Bacteroidota; Bacteroidia; Bacteroidales. The record is from RNAcentral.
CGGCGGCAAUAGCGGUGAGGACCCACCUCUACCCAUACCGAACAGAGAAGUUAAGCUCACUUGCGCCGAUGGUACUGCCCGACCAGGUGGGAGAGUAGGCAGCUGCCG